RNAcentral lists this ribosomal RNA (402 nucleotides) under uncultured prokaryote. RNAcentral's name for it is "bacterial SSU rRNA". It matches the Rfam family "Bacterial small subunit ribosomal RNA", at positions 355 to 774 of the family's 1533-position model. The record is from RNAcentral.
UGGGGAAUAUUGGUAAUCUGGGAAACCGGGAACCAGCAACGCCGCGUGCGCGAUGAAGGCCUUCGGGUUGUAAAGCGCUUUUUGAGAGGAUGAGGAAGGACAGUACUCUUAGAAUAUGCCUCGGCUAACUACGUGCCAGCAGCCGCGGUAACACGUAGGAGGCAAACGUUAUCCGGAUUUACUGGGCGUAAAGCGCGUGUAGGUGGUUCUGUAAGUAGGGCGUGAAAGCUCCUGGCUUAACUGGGAGAGGUCGUUCAAAACUAUCAGACUUGAGAGUGGUAGAGGGAGGUGGAAUUCCGCAUGUAGUGGUGAAAUGCGUAGAUAUGCGGAGGAACACCAGUGGCGAAAGCGGCCUCCUGGCCCAUUUCUGACGCUCAGACACGAAAGCUAAGGUAGCAAACG